GUGCUCACUUUGGCAGCACAUAUACAAAAAUUGGAAUGAAACAGAUAAGAUUAGCAUGGCCCCUGAGCAAGGAUGAUAUGCAAAUUCAUGAAGCUUUCCAUAUUUUA
This is a small nuclear RNA of Ochotona curzoniae (black-lipped pika), 107 nucleotides long. Lineage: Eukaryota; Metazoa; Chordata; Mammalia; Lagomorpha; Ochotonidae. The record is from RefSeq and is a predicted model, not a curated record.